CUGUGAGCUCGAUGAGUAGGGCGGGACACGUGGUAUCCUGUCUGAAUAUGGGGGGACCAUCCUCCAAGGCUAAAUACUCCUGACUGACCGAUAGUGAACCAGUACCGUGAGGGAAAGGCGAAAAGAACCCCGGCGAGGGGAGUGAAAAAGAACCUGAAACCGUGUACGUACAAGCAGUGGGAGCACGCUUCGGCGUGUGACUGCGUACCUUUUGUAUAAUGGGUCAGCGACUUAUAUUCUGUAGCAAGGUUAACCGAAUAGGGGAGCCGAAGGGAAACCGAGUCUUAACUGGGCGUUAAGUUGCAGGGUAUAGACCCGAAACCCGGUGAUCUAGCCAUGGGCAGGUUGAAGGUUGGGUAACACUAACUGGAGGACCGAACCGACUAAUGUUGAAAAAUUAGCGGAUGACUUGUGGCUGGGGGUGAAAGGCCAAUCAAACCGGGAGAUAGCUGGUUCUCCCCGAAAGCUAUUUAGGUAGCGCCUCGUGAAUUCAUCUCCGGGGGUAGAGCACUGUUUCGGCAAGGGGGUCAUCCCGACUUACCAACCCGAUGCAAACUGCGAAUACCGGAGAAUGUUAUCACGGGAGACACACGGCGGGUGCUAACGUCCGUCGUGAAGAGGGAAACAACCCAGACCGCCAGCUAAGGUCCCAAAGUCAUGGUUAAGUGGGAAACGAUGUGGGAAGGCCCAGACAGCCAGGAUGUUGGCUUAGAAGCAGCCAUCAUUUAAAGAAAGCGUAAUAGCUCACUGGUCGAGUCGGCCUGCGCGGAAGAUGUAACGGGGCUAAACCAUGCACCGAAGCUGCGGCAGCGACACUAUGUGUUGUUGGGUAGGGGAGCGUUCUGUAAGCCUGUGAAGGUGUACUGUGAGGUAUGCUGGAGGUAUCAGAAGUGCGAAUGCUGACAUAAGUAACGAUAAAGCGGGUGAAAAGCCCGCUCGCCGGAAGACCAAGGGUUCCUGUCCAACGUUAAUCGGGGCAGGGUGAGUCGACCCCUAAGGCGAGGCCGAAAGGCGUAGUCGAUGGGAAACAGGUUAAUAUUCCUGUACUUGGUGUUACUGCGAAGGGGGGACGGAGAAGGCUAUGUUGGCCGGGCGACGGUUGUCCCGGUUUAAGCGUGUAGGCUGGUUUUCCAGGCAAAUCCGGAAAAUCAAGGCUGAGGCGUGAUGACGAGGCACUACGGUGCUGAAGCAACAAAUGCCCUGCUUCCAGGAAAAGCCUCUAAGCAUCAGGUAACAUCAAAUCGUACCCCAAACCGACACAGGUGGUCAGGUAGAGAAUACCAAGGCGCUUGAGAGAACUCGGGUGAAGGAACUAGGCAAAAUGGUGCCGUAACUUCGGGAGAAGGCACGCUGAUAUGUAGGUGAAGCGACUUGCUCGUGGAGCUGAAAUCAGUCGAAGAUACCAGCUGGCUGCAACUGUUUAUUAAAAACACAGCACUGUGCAAACACGAAAGUGGACGUAUACGGUGUGACGCCUGCCCGGUGCCGGAAGGUUAAUUGAUGGGGUUAGCGGUAACGCGAAGCUCUUGAUCGAAGCCCCGGUAAACGGCGGCCGUAACUAUAACGGUCCUAAGGUAGCGAAAUUCCUUGUCGGGUAAGUUCCGACCUGCACGAAUGGCGUAAUGAUGGCCAGGCUGUCUCCACCCGAGACUCAGUGAAAUUGAACUCGCUGUGAAGAUGCAGUGUACCCGCGGCAAGACGGAAAGACCCCGUGAACCUUUACUAUAGCUUGACACUGAACAUUGAGCCUUGAUGUGUAGGAUAGGUGGGAGGCUUUGAAGUGUGGACGCCAGUCUGCAUGGAGCCGACCUUGAAAUACCACCCUUUAAUGUUUGAUGUUCUAACGUUG
Molecule: ribosomal RNA, 1849 nt
Filed under: Escherichia coli
Lineage: Bacteria; Pseudomonadati; Pseudomonadota; Gammaproteobacteria; Enterobacterales; Enterobacteriaceae
Description: partial 23S ribosomal RNA
Rfam family: Bacterial large subunit ribosomal RNA
Source: RNAcentral